Trematomus bernacchii (emerald rockcod) is the source of this 297-nucleotide long non-coding RNA. RefSeq lists it as uncharacterized. The record is from RefSeq and is a predicted model, not a curated record. The transcript has 4 exons. Lineage: Eukaryota; Metazoa; Chordata; Actinopteri; Perciformes; Nototheniidae.
CCUCUAACCUUCAGUAAUGAACCUGGACCCUCAGACACAAAACAGAGAGCAGAGUCUCCAGUCCCCAGCUGUCUGUCUCUGAAGAGUGACCAGUCUAUGAGGAACCCUCCAACCUUCAGUAAUGAACCUGGACCCUCAGACACAAAACAGAGAGCAGAGUCUCCAGUCCCCAGCUGUCUGUCUCUGAAGAGUGACCGGUCUAUGGGGGAACCUAUAUACUUCAGAAAUGGACCUGGACCCUCAGACACAAAAGGGAGGAGGAAGAGUGGUGUUCCUGUGGAGGAGCAGCUGUCCAGC